GGGUUCUUCGAGAAUCGACGUAUAUCAACAUAGCAUCGAAGAUGUCCUCAUCGGAUGAGUGCUUCUAUAUCUUCUCUGAGCUACUAGCAAUCCUCCAUAUCAUGCUCGUGGUUCUGGUGGUACCUGUAAUAUUUAGAUUCCUUGCCCAUGUCAGUGUAGUCAUCUUCCUCGAGCAGGGGAGCUCUUCUGGGCAUUUUAUCUUCAUUAGAUCUGAGCUCAGGAGGUAUUCAAUGGAGUAAAGUAGUGAAUCUCUAUGGGGGGG
RNAcentral lists this long non-coding RNA (262 nucleotides) under Elaeis guineensis (African oil palm). Its description in RNAcentral is "long non-coding RNA (EGUI_LNC016545)". Lineage: Eukaryota; Viridiplantae; Streptophyta; Magnoliopsida; Arecales; Arecaceae. The record is from RNAcentral.